GGUGAACGCUGGCGGUAGGCCUAACACAUGCAAGUCGAACGGCAGCACAGUAAGAGCUUGCUCUUACGGGUGGCGAGUGGCGGACGGGUGAGGAAUACAUCGGAAUCUACUUUUUCGUGGGGGAUAACGUAGGGAAACUUACGCUAAUACCGCAUACGACCUACGGGUGAAAGCAGGGGAUCUUCGGACCUUGCGCGAUUGAAUGAGCCGAUGUCGGAUUAGCUAGUUGGCGGGGUAAAGGCCCACCAAGGCGACGAUCCGUAGCUGUUCUGAGAGGAUGAUCAGCCACACUGGAACUGAGACACGGUCCAGACUCCUACGGGAGGCAGCAGUGGGGAAUAUUGGACAAUGGGCGCAAGCCUGAUCCAGCCAUACCGCGUGGGUGAAGAAGGCCUUCGGGUUGUAAAGCCCUUUUGUUGGGAAAGAAAAGCAGCAGGUUAAUACCCCGCUGUUCUGACGGUACCCAAAGAAUAAGCACCGGCUAACUUCGUG
RNAcentral lists this ribosomal RNA (492 nucleotides) under uncultured bacterium. RNAcentral describes it as "partial 16S ribosomal RNA". It matches the Rfam family "Bacterial small subunit ribosomal RNA", at positions 28 to 507 of the family's 1533-position model. The record is from RNAcentral.